RNAcentral lists this ribosomal RNA (530 nucleotides) under Odorrana tiannanensis (Dawei frog). RNAcentral describes it as "partial large subunit ribosomal RNA". It matches the Rfam family "Bacterial large subunit ribosomal RNA", at positions 1829 to 2571 of the family's 2925-position model. The record is from RNAcentral. Lineage: Eukaryota; Metazoa; Chordata; Amphibia; Anura; Ranidae.
CAUCGCCUCCUGAUUAAAUAUAAGAGGUCCAGCCUGCCCAGUGAUAAUAUUUAACGGCCGCGGUAUACUGACCGUGCGAAGGUAGCAUAAUCACUUGUUCUUUAAAUAGGGACUCGUAUCAACGGCAUCACGAGGGCUAUACUGUCUCCCCUCUCCAAUCAGUGAAACUGAUCCCCCCGUGAAGAAGCGGGGAUUUAACUAUAAGACGAGAAGACCCCAUGGAGCUUUAAACUCAACAUGUACCUGUAUAACUAUUUAUCAAUUUAACCUCAAGGCCUGCAUGUUAGCUUUCGGCUGGGGGGGCCACGGAGUAAAAUCAAACCUCCACAACAAACGGGCAAAUACCCUUAUCUACGACUGACAAAUCCAAGAAUCACCAAAGUGAUGUUUAAUGAUCCGACAACUCGAUUAAUGAACCAAGUUACCCUGGGGAUAACAGCGCAAUCCGCUUCAAGAGCCCAUAUCGACAAGCGGGUUUACGACCUCGAUGUUGGAUCAGGGUAUCCUAGUGGUGCAACCGCUACUAAUGG